ACUCCCCCGAGCGGCCGGGGACGACGGGCGGGACUUAAGCAU
This 42-nucleotide ribosomal RNA is filed under the name Giardia ardeae. RNAcentral describes it as "large subunit ribosomal RNA". The record is from RNAcentral. Lineage: Eukaryota; Fornicata; Diplomonadida; Hexamitidae.